AUCUAUUAGUUUGCUGUAAUAACCAGUAUUACAAUCUCUGGAUCCUUUGUGUGUUCACUGAAGGUUACCUGAUGUAACACCACACCCUCUCUGGGCUGAAG
Molecule: long non-coding RNA, 101 nt
Organism: Tachysurus fulvidraco (yellow catfish)
Lineage: Eukaryota; Metazoa; Chordata; Actinopteri; Siluriformes; Bagridae
Exons: 2
Source: RefSeq, a predicted model, not a curated record